Non-coding RNA from Hypoxylon trugodes, 104 nucleotides. The record is from the annotation of a RefSeq genome assembly. NCBI's taxonomy places the organism in Eukaryota, Fungi, Ascomycota, Sordariomycetes, Xylariales, Hypoxylaceae.
GCCCUUAUAGCUCAGUGGUAGAGCGCAGCACUUGUAAGAUUUCACCUUCUAGGAGAAAUGUGUCAGGAAUGCUGAGGUCCAUCGUUCAAUCCGGUGUGGGGGCA